RNAcentral lists this non-coding RNA (130 nucleotides) under Streptomyces sp. ERV7. RNAcentral's name for it is "Streptomyces RNA 5676". It matches the Rfam family "Streptomyces RNA 5676". From Rfam's summary of the family: Identified by deep sequencing of transcriptome at the end of exponential growth phase. Appears longer on northern blot than sequencing transcript. This indicates processing step. The record is from Rfam by way of RNAcentral. Lineage: Bacteria; Bacillati; Actinomycetota; Actinomycetes; Kitasatosporales; Streptomycetaceae.
AGAUGAGAGAAACACCUCGCCCGCAGGUGACUGCGGGCGGCUCCAGGGCGGCGCGUCCCCAGCCUCGUUCUGGUCGUGCCCUGGCGCACACCGCCGGCGCUUCUGGCUCCGGAACUCCUCACCGAUCGGA